GCACACAUAUGUGCGCACACCAACCGGCAUCGGGAGAGCACAUGUGUACGCGCAUGCGCGGCAUUUGCGGGUUUCCAGUUUGGGGUUUCCAAAUUUGGGUUUCGUGUUUCGUGUAUUUCGGUUGAUUUUGCAUCGAGGCCUGCAUACUUUGCUAUGCACGGUUGUAUGAUGGUACUUGCAUUCUCCAUUCUACACACACACCACUGCCACCUCCGCAUGCUGUCCGCGCCGAACUGGGUCUGGGGUCGCCAACCGCGUGCCGCACGUUUGCAUACUUUUGCAUCCCAGCGCGCGCGCAUCCAAUGCAUAAUAAUUGAACUGUGCUUACCUCAUUUAUGCCGUGGGACCUAUUGUGAUGAAGCCUAGUGCUGCCUGGACCAAGAAACGCCAAUGUUUGAGGUUUAGGUGUCAACGUUGGCAUUGCAUUUUGCGAAUUGCUUGACCAACCGAGCGAUGUCCUUCCUAUAUAACCAUGCAGUCGUUCGCCACUCUACCUGCAUACAGACUCUGCUGCACAUACCAAGCAGUUCUGCUGCAACUUCACGUUCGCAACAGCCAAAUCUGUUGUCCAUAAUCCAGCAGGUACGCGCUAGUGGUGCGGUAAACCGAGCAUCGCUGUUGGUGUUGCUGUUGCUGCUGCCGCGCGCGCACGCUGCGUCCAAUAUUCAAUCCACCGCCGCCUGCUACUGCUACUCCUGCUUUCCAUUGCCAUGCUUAGCCCUGAAACGCUCGACUCCAAUUUGCAACUAACGCUCAUCCUGCUGCUUUCCACCCUCCUGCUACGUUCUGCGUGCAGCCAACGUGGUCAUCUUCGCCAACGCACACGUCCGCACACUUCUGCACCAUCAAUAGCAGGUUGGUAUGGGUGCUGCCGCUGCUGCCGUGCCUUCCGUGCGUAUGCACAACGCCUACUGCUACUGCCUGCUGCUACUCAACACACCAGCCACUGACAUUCCUGCUGUUGGUGCAUGCUCCUGUGCUCUGUUCCAGUGUGAGAUACGAACAUGCAAGCAACUGCAUCCUGCACCACUCAUACUUCCCUGCACCCACCUUCUCUCCUCGCUACGUACUGGCACUGUCAAAGUGCAGGUGCCUGUGUGGAUGACUGUGUUUUCGUUGGCGAGGUGCCUGCACAUGCACAGGUGAGCGCCUACUCCGCCAUGCACACAGCUUGCACUACUGACAACUCUCAUUGUCCUAGUGGUGCUGCUCCUACUGUCACCGCUGCCGCCACAGCUUCCAUGCAUGCGCGCCCACACAUUGUAUUCCUGUCGCUUGCCAACUGGCUCGUGCACCUUCUAUGACUCUUGCUUAAUGCGUGGUCGGCCAUGCCGCUAUCCCGCACACACGCUGCUACCACCAACACUGCUCCAUCCCU
Molecule: long non-coding RNA, 1378 nt
Filed under: Chlamydomonas reinhardtii
Lineage: Eukaryota; Viridiplantae; Chlorophyta; Chlorophyceae; Chlamydomonadales; Chlamydomonadaceae
Description: long non-coding RNA (CREI_LNC000071)
Source: RNAcentral